CCGUCAUACGAAUGAAAACUCUCAAGCUGAAGAAUAUUCCGUUACGUGUACGCUCUAAAUUCGGAUGAUAUCGCAUUAACAUGGAGUUUUGAGAUGUAUAUUGUGAUAACCACGUGUGUACAAAUGGUGCUACUUGUCGUAAUUCAGUCAACAGCUACAUCUGUAUAUGUCGUAGUGGUUAUAGUGGACAAUUCUGUCAAAUAGUACUGGUGGAAAGAAUAAAUUUGAACGAAUAGAUGGACUGGUGAAUUGUAAAUUAACAUUAGGGUUUUUGCAUCUUUAAAAUGUGGA
Molecule: long non-coding RNA, 291 nt
Organism: Mytilus californianus (California mussel)
Lineage: Eukaryota; Metazoa; Mollusca; Bivalvia; Mytilida; Mytilidae
Exons: 3
Source: RefSeq, a predicted model, not a curated record